RNAcentral lists this ribosomal RNA (269 nucleotides) under uncultured prokaryote. RNAcentral's name for it is "partial 16S ribosomal RNA". It matches the Rfam family "Bacterial small subunit ribosomal RNA", at positions 524 to 792 of the family's 1533-position model. The record is from RNAcentral.
UACGGAGGAUCCGAGCGUUAUCCGGAUUUAUUGGGUUUAAAGGGUGCGCAGGCGGGAGAUUAAGUCGGCGGUGAAAUUUUGCAGCUCAACUGUAAAAGUGCCUUCGAAACUGGUUUCCUUGAGUGUAGAUGAAGUAGGCGGAAUUUGUGGUGUAGCGGUGAAAUGCAUAGAUAUCACGAGGAACUCCGAUUGCGCAGGCAGCUUACUAAACCACUACUGACGCUCAUGCACGAAGGCGUGGGGAUCAAACAGGAUUAGAUACCCCUGUA